This 1570-nucleotide ribosomal RNA is filed under the name Salmonella enterica subsp. enterica serovar Senftenberg. RNAcentral's name for it is "partial 23S ribosomal RNA". It matches the Rfam family "Bacterial large subunit ribosomal RNA", at positions 1292 to 2840 of the family's 2925-position model. The record is from RNAcentral. Lineage: Bacteria; Pseudomonadati; Pseudomonadota; Gammaproteobacteria; Enterobacterales; Enterobacteriaceae.
GAAUGCUGACAUAAGUAACGAUAAAGCGGGUGAAAAGCCCGCUCGCCGGAAGACCAAGGGUUCCUGUCCAACGUUAAUCGGGGCAGGGUGAGUCGACCCCUAAGGCGAGGCCGAAAGGCGUAGUCGAUGGGAAACGGGUUAAUAUUCCCGUACUUGGUGUUACUGCGAAGGGGGGACGGAGAAGGCUAUGUUGGCCGGGCGACGGUUGUCCCGGUUUAAGCGUGUAGGUGUGUGUUCCAGGUAAAUCCGGUUCACUUUAACACUGAGGCGUGACGACGAGGCACUACGGUGCUGAAGCAACAAAUGCCCUGCUUCCAGGAAAAGCCUCUAAGCAUCAGGUAACAUCAAAUCGUACCCCAAACCGACACAGGUGGUCAGGUAGAGAAUACCAAGGCGCUUGAGAGAACUCGGGUGAAGGAACUAGGCAAAAUGGUGCCGUAACUUCGGGAGAAGGCACGCUGACACGUAGGUGAAGUGAUUUACUCAUGGAGCUGAAGUCAGUCGAAGAUACCAGCUGGCUGCAACUGUUUAUUAAAAACACAGCACUGUGCAAACACGAAAGUGGACGUAUACGGUGUGACGCCUGCCCGGUGCCGGAAGGUUAAUUGAUGGGGUCAGCGCAAGCGAAGCUCCUGAUCGAAGCCCCGGUAAACGGCGGCCGUAACUAUAACGGUCCUAAGGUAGCGAAAUUCCUUGUCGGGUAAGUUCCGACCUGCACGAAUGGCGUAAUGAUGGCCAGGCUGUCUCCACCCGAGACUCAGUGAAAUUGAACUCGCUGUGAAGAUGCAGUGUACCCGCGGCAAGACGGAAAGACCCCGUGAACCUUUACUAUAGCUUGACACUGAACAUUGAGCCUUGAUGUGUAGGAUAGGUGGGAGGCUUUGAAGUGUGGACGCCAGUCUGCAUGGAGCCGACCUUGAAAUACCACCCUUUAAUGUUUGAUGUUCUAACGUGGACCCGUAAUCCGGGUUGCGGACAGUGUCUGGUGGGUAGUUUGACUGGGGCGGUCUCCUCCUAAAGAGUAACGGAGGAGCACGAAGGUUGGCUAAUCCUGGUCGGACAUCAGGAGGUUAGUGCAAUGGCAUAAGCCAGCUUGACUGCGAGCGUGACGGCGCGAGCAGGUGCGAAAGCAGGUCAUAGUGAUCCGGUGGUUCUGAAUGGAAGGGCCAUCGCUCAACGGAUAAAAGGUACUCCGGGGAUAACAGGCUGAUACCGCCCAAGAGUUCAUAUCGACGGCGGUGUUUGGCACCUCGAUGUCGGCUCAUCACAUCCUGGGGCUGAAGUAGGUCCCAAGGGUAUGGCUGUUCGCCAUUUAAAGUGGUACGCGAGCUGGGUUUAGAACGUCGUGAGACAGUUCGGUCCCUAUCUGCCGUGGGCGCUGGAGAACUGAGGGGGGCUGCUCCUAGUACGAGAGGACCGGAGUGGACGCAUCACUGGUGUUCGGGUUGUCAUGCCAAUGGCACUGCCCGGUAGCUAAAUGCGGAAGAGAUAAGUGCUGAAAGCAUCUAAGCACGAAACUUGCCCCGAGAUGAGUUCUCCCUGAGACUUAGAGUCUCCUGAAGGAACGUUG